Molecule: ribosomal RNA, 588 nt
Filed under: uncultured bacterium
Lineage: Bacteria
Description: partial 16S ribosomal RNA
Rfam family: Bacterial small subunit ribosomal RNA
Source: RNAcentral
UGGGGGAAUUUUGGACAAUGGGCGAAAGCCUGAUCCAGCAAUGCCGCGUGUGUGAAGAAGGCCUUCGGGUUGUAAAGCACUUUUGUCCGGAAAGAAAUCCUUGGCUCUAAUACAGUCGGGGGAUGACGGUACCGGAAGAAUAAGCACCGGCUAACUACGUGCCAGCAGCCGCGGUAAUACGUAGGGUGCAAGCGUUAAUCGGAAUUACUGGGCGUAAAGCGUGCGCAGGCGGUUUGCUAAGACCGAUGUGAAAUCCCCGGGCUCAACCUGGGAACUGCAUUGGUGACUGGCAGGCUAGAGUAUGGCAGAGGGGGGUAGAAUUCCACGUGUAGCAGUGAAAUGCGUAGAGAUGUGGAGGAAUACCGAUGGCGAAGGCAGCCCCCUGGGCCAAUACUGACGCUCAUGCACGAAAAGCGUGGGGAGCAAACAGGAUUAGAUACCCUGGUAGUCCACGCCCUAAAACGAUGUCAACUAGUUGUUGGGGAUUCAUUUCCUUAGUAACGUAGCUAACGCGUGAAGUUGACCGCCUGGGGAGUACGGUCGCAAGAUUAAAACUUAAAUAAAUUGACGGGGUCAUAGCUGUUUCCU